CCUACGUGAGGCAGCAGUGAGGCAUAUUGGUCAAUGGGCGCGAGCCUGAACCAGCCAAGUAGCGUGAAGGAUGACUGCCCUACGGGUUGUAAACUUCUUUUAUAAAGGAAUAAAGUGAGGCACGUGUGCCUUUUUGUAUGUACUUUAUGAAUAAGGAUCGGCUAACUCCGUGCCAGCAGCCGCGGUAAUACGGAGGAGCCGAGCGUUAUCCGGAUUUAUUGGGUUUAAAGGGAGCGGAGAUGGGUUGUUAAGUCAGUUGUGAAAGUUUGCGGCUCAACCGUAAAAUUGCAAUUGAUACUGGCAGUCUUGAGUACAGUUGAGGUAGGCGUAAUUCGUGGUGUAGCGGUGAAAUGCUGAGAUAUCACGAAGAACUCCGAUUGCGAAGGCAGCUUACUAAACUGCCACUGACAUUGAUGCUCGAAAGUGUGGGUAUCAAACAGGAUUAGAUACCCGAGUAGUC
This 460-nucleotide ribosomal RNA is filed under the name uncultured bacterium. RNAcentral's name for it is "partial 16S ribosomal RNA". It matches the Rfam family "Bacterial small subunit ribosomal RNA", at positions 338 to 795 of the family's 1533-position model. The record is from RNAcentral.